RNAcentral lists this ribosomal RNA (426 nucleotides) under bacterium Ellin6030. RNAcentral's name for it is "bacterial SSU rRNA". It matches the Rfam family "Bacterial small subunit ribosomal RNA", at positions 29 to 499 of the family's 1533-position model. The record is from RNAcentral. Lineage: Bacteria; Pseudomonadati; Pseudomonadota; Alphaproteobacteria; Sphingomonadales; Sphingomonadaceae.
GCGAACGCUGCCGAGCAUGCUUAACACAUGCAAGUCGAGCAAUACCUUCGGGUCUAGUGGCGCACGUGGUGCGUAACGCGUGGGAAUCUGCCCUAUGGUACGGAAUAUCACAGGGACACUUGAGCUAAUCCCGUAUAAUGACUUCGGUCCAAAAAUUUAUCGCUUAAGGAUGAGCCCGCGUCGGAUUAGCUAGUUGGUGAGGUAAAAGCUCACCAAGGCGACGAUCCGUAGCUGGUCUGAGAGGAUGAUCAGCCACACUGGGACUGAGACACGGCCCAGACUCCUACGGGAGGCAGCAGUGGGGAAUAUUGCACAAUGGGCGAAANCCUGAUCCAGCAAGGCCGCGUGAGUGAUGAAGUCCUUAGGGUUGUAAAGCUCUUUCACCCGGGAUGAUAAUGACAGUACCGGRAGAAUAAGCCCCGGCUA